This 48-nucleotide ribosomal RNA is filed under the name Boeremia exigua. RNAcentral describes it as "partial 18S ribosomal RNA". It matches the Rfam family "Eukaryotic small subunit ribosomal RNA", at positions 1784 to 1831 of the family's 1831-position model. The record is from RNAcentral. Lineage: Eukaryota; Fungi; Ascomycota; Dothideomycetes; Pleosporales; Didymellaceae.
AGAAAGCGUAACAAGGUUUCCGUAGGUGAACCUGCGGAAGGAUCAUUA